Non-coding RNA from Saimiri boliviensis boliviensis (Bolivian squirrel monkey), 1918 nucleotides. The record is from RefSeq and is a predicted model, not a curated record. Lineage: Eukaryota; Metazoa; Chordata; Mammalia; Primates; Cebidae.
GAGACGUGCAGGCAGCCGGAGCUGCUCUUCUCACCAGGCCCGUCACGGCUUUUCUCAGUUCUGGCUUCUGAUACAGUAAAUAUCAAUAGACGUAAUCCCCACACCAAAGCCCCCUGGAGUUCUCAUUUUCAAGAGUGUCAUGGGGCCUUGAUACCAAAUCGAUUGGGAGCCCCAGCCCUAGAACUGAGAGUGUUUUAAACCCGGAGGAAGCCGGCCUCUCUGGUCUCAGUGUAUUCUUCCUAAAAGAAGAACAUGGAGAUAAGAUGAUUUCUAGUAUCUCCAGCUCUAGGCAGCUGAAGAUGGCCUAACUUGGCUGGUCUGAAGGCUGGGAACUCCGCGAUCGAGACACCAGCAGAUCUGGUGUCUGAUGAGAACACACUUUCUCUUCUACGGAUGGCCAUGUGCGCUCCCUCCCCUUCCUGUUGUCACCUGGGGAGGGCCGAGGAGUGACUGCCACGAACACCCGUGACCAGCAGAGGGCGGAAGAGAGCGGCAGGAGCCUCCGGCGGAGCCGAACGAGGGGCUCCCCUCUCAGGAAGCCGAAAACUCAAGACUCCGGUACAGUGAGCUGUUAGGGACGAGCCGCCCCCAGGACGCCCUGGCGCAGCUGGCCCUCACCCUGCUGCUCUGCAGCCGCCUUCCUAACCCCGCGUGCAGGCGCCGCAGCAGCAAGGCCACCCGACAGGCCACAGCCAGCUGAGCAGAUGGGGAGGGUCACGGGAAACAGAGCUUUGUCAUAGGGACUUGUAAAUUCCUGUUUUACACAUACCUGUGAAUUCCUGUUUUAUUUAAACUGCUGCCACAAAAGUCACAGGAUGAUGUAAGUCUGUCGCAAGCUGACAGACUAUCUCUGUGCCUGUUACAAGCUGACACACUAUCUUGGUCCCGAAACUCCCUUAAGUCCCUCUCACCCCAUAUAAACCCCUUGUUUUGUAAGCUCCGGGCUGCCCCUCUGACUGUUUCGGAGCAGCUGGCAGGUCCUGCUGCUCUGCUUUCAAAUCCUCCUGGCUUCCUCCAAACCUGCCUCCCUCCCCACAGCCCCAGCCAAUGACUCUUUCUCUGACCCUGCCAAUUCCCCCUUCCUGACAGCAUCACGAUCCGGUCCCCACCUCUCCUCAGCCACCCCUCUGUCUCCGCCUCUCCCUGCUCUGUAGCCCAGCGUGCCCGGCGCACCCCGCGUGCCCAGCAUGCCAGGCAACCCGCUCCCUUGCUCCCCCCGGGGAGGCAGCUGGGGCUGCAGGGUCAUCUGUAUCCACAUCUCCUUCCCCUCUGAUCUCUCCCGGACUGAAAAACGUCUUGGGUCCUUCUCCUCCGAUCCCAAUACUUACAUCAAAGAAUUUAAAUAUCUCGCCCAGUCUUAUGAACUCAGUUGGCAUGAUCCCUAUGUUAUUUAUCCUCUCUUCUACCCUCCUUCCAUGAGAGAAGCAAAGAGUGUGGCUCACGGCCCAGGCACAAGCUGAUAGUCUUCAUCAGCGAGGCCCCCCUGAGCCCGUCGGAGCCGCUGCCUUCCCUGGGAAAACCCUUCCUGGAAGCACCAACCCGCAGACCCCGGCCGGGCUUCCUGCCACGGACGAUGACUUGCCUUAUUGCAGACCUUCACAGGGCUGCCCACAGACCGUACAUUUUGAAAAAGUUAAAGAAAUUUCCCAAAAGGCGGAUGAAAGUCCUGCCCAACCCCUUUCCCGCCUUACAGAGGCUCCCCCAAAAUACACUUGCGUCGGCCCUGCCUCCCGAGAAGAACCUGCUGAUCUUGACACCCAUUCUAUCUCCCACUCCGCCCCGACAUCUGGCGCAAACUUAAAAAGGCUGAAGAGGGCCUCAAACCCCACAACGAGACCCCCUCAGCCUGGCCUUCCAAGUCUUCCGUAACAGGGAUAAGCAAAAUAAACUAAUAGAUUCCCAAAGAGACCGUGCUAAA